This is a non-coding RNA of Macaca mulatta (Rhesus monkey), 2605 nucleotides long. Lineage: Eukaryota; Metazoa; Chordata; Mammalia; Primates; Cercopithecidae. The record is from RefSeq and is a predicted model, not a curated record.
GCAAAUGCCACAUCUCAGUGAGAACCUAUAACUCUCCAAGACUGCUGUGCUUGUAAGUUACCUUUCCCUUUACUUUUCUACCUUUAUUUCUCUGUCUCCCAUUCUUUUUGACUUUGUGGUGAGCCUUGCAGAGAACGCUUUCUUGGUGGUAUUCUAGGGCUUAUCACAUAGGUUGCCAGUAGUCAUUGGAUGACUUGAUAUUCUCAGCUCUUAUUCUGUUGUUUCCUGCUCUGUCUCAUCCCCAAACUAUACAAUACUAUUUUGGACUUUUUAACAGAGUGAGUAUGUCUUAAGAAUCAGAACUGACUCAUAUGGUUAGCUUUUGGGGGAUUGCUUGUUGUGAUAUACAGUACUGGUUCUACUCUGUGCUUAUGAGAGACUCCCAGACCUUACAGCCUUGGUAUGUAAGGGAUUCUUCCAGUCUCUGAAAGCUGUAGGUUGUACAAAGGUAGAGACAAGAGGCAAUAAGGCCAUAUUAAGUGUUAUCCUUUCAGCCAAUUUCUCACAGGAUGACCCAAGACAAUUUAACCCCAUUAUUUUAUUUCACUUUUGUAUCUUUCAGGAUAUAUUCAGACAUCCCUCUUUUUCUGCCUAAAAGAGUAGAAUAAUAACUAAUGAUGGGAUGAUGCUUUGUGGUUUUCAUAGUACUUCCAUAUAUUCUAUCUUAUGUGUUUUUCAAAACAAUAUUGUAAGGUAAGAAAGACUGGUAAAUUUUUUUACCUCUUUUUACUUUCUAUAUUUAUACAUAACACCAAAAUUAAGUGAACAUUUGAGUAAGCUUUUGUCAUUCUGCUCCACAGGCAGGAAAACUGAAGCCCAGGGAGGUGAAGGGAUUGCCUAAGAUCCUUGGAUGGAAGUUGAAGAAUUCAGGUCUCAAGUGAAGCCUCCUAUCAGACUCUCUGCCUGGCCUGAGAUAUCCAGUUAACACCUGCAAUUCAGAAUACCCUCUCACCCAGCAAUAAAGCAUCCAGCCUUUGCAUCUGUAACAACCUCCUCUGUAAUUUGUGCAUUCUAUGGAUGUUCCAAAUCAUAAUACAAUCCAUUCAUGACUUCAGACAGAUGAAAACAGUUCCUUCUAAAAACAGAGGCUGAUGUUUUUAAAAGACAAUAAGAGAAGAAUGUGAGUUCCCCAUGGCUGCAGUAGAAGGUGCUAGAUGAGAGGAGCAUCUCCAGAGCACGGAAGACAAAGCAGCCUUAUCCUCACCUUUUCCACCUCAAUUUCCAUUUUCCUUCAAGGCAAAACUCCCACUUCUGGCAGAUUAAAUGAAAUGAAGACACUGAGCUCUGCAAGUACACUGCUUUUUGAAUCCCAGAGAUCACAUCAGCAUUUGCUGCCCACUUUCUCCCUCCAGCAUCUUCCGCAGCCUAGUCAUACAUUGUGUGCAUCAGGCCUUCACCAGCAUGCUAAGAUUUGUCCAAGAGUCUUGAUGUCCUAAACGCAAGUGACAUGUAAAGCUUGGAUCCCAAGGUCAAACAGCAUGACUUGUGGAUAACUGAACUUGCUUGUCAAAUGCCUCUUUAAAAAGCGAGUGAAGAUAAUUGCAAAUCAGCUGGAAGUGCUGCCAAGAUAUGACCUCCAGGAAGGCCCAGAAGACAAGUGAUAUUGUGUGGACUGCUACAGCGCAAUGUCUAACUGAUUCAAAAUGAAGAAUCAAUUUGAAAUUAAGAUGAGGAAAGGCAUCCAGCACUUAUAUUAUAGCAAAAAACAUUGUCACCAGGCCCUGGGAAAGAUGAGACCACCUCCCUUCCCUUCUCAGGCUCCUUUUCCCUGUCAGACUGUAGCUCUUAAAGGCUGUCAUCCUCCAAGGGUAUUCCCUAAGUACAGCAUAGCAUCUCUGUUACCCUUUGAAUUCAACAAUAUUGAUCUCCUCCAACAUUUUCAUUCCUUUAGUCAAAAGUCAGCUGUCAAACGCGAGGCACAAGUGCAACUUUAAGGAAUUCAUGGCCAAUAUUUGUCAUGUCAUUUCAUGGAUUGUCUGCAGGCACAUAAAACAUACAAUGAGGAUACUGAUCCAAGAUACAUGGCACACAAUUAAAUUGUGAAAAAACAUGACUCUGAGUCCAGAAGUUCUUAUUUUUUCGCAGUCUUCAGAGUAUUGUAUAGGCCCCUUGAAAAAUAAAUUUGCAGAGUGUGAAUGUUAAUUUACUUUCAACUUCAGAAAACAGAUUUUCCACAUUUAUAAAAGAGAAAUAGUGACUAUUCUAGACAAUAGAGCCCAGCAAGAAUACUCAAACUAGUAUAACCCUAUUUCUCUACACCACAAGGACAUCUUGUAGGCAUGUUCCUCUGAAGGACUUGAGAAUUACGCUUUUUUUCCUCCUUUUCUCUCUAAAAGCAAAAAGCACCAUAAUCUUGCUGUAGUAUAAUCAAAACAGAGCCCGAUGUGAAACCAGAGCCUUGAGUUUUCAUCCUUCGUUUGUUACUUAAAAGUUGACAUAAGAAAAAUUAUUUAACUUCUCUCAACCUCAGUUUCUUAUCUAUAAAAUGGGAUUAUAAAAUGUAUCUCACAAAGUAGUUAUGAGGAUUAAAGGAAAUGGAAAACAUGCUUAUUUGGUUUUGAAUCCUGGUUUGGUCUAACUAUCAAUAAAACUCAUUAAGAUGGAA